GAUAACUAAGCUAGAUGGGAAAGAAAUUACCAGUUGGGUGUGACAUGCUGGUAGGCAUUUUUAAAAAGUUAAAUUUGGGGUGCAUUUUGAGAAAUGGAAGGAGGUGGGGAAUGUGUAUUUGAGAGAGAGAGGGUGCUGCGAAAACUAAGGAAAACAGCAGAGAGUUUGGAGAGAAUUUAGGAUACUGAUUUUAAAUAUAGAGAUUAGGGUAGAUUAUGUUGGAGAAGAACAAAGCACAAAGAGGCUUUCACAGUCAAUGGGGGUUUAUCUGAGCCCUGAACUAGAAAAACUCUUUUCCCCAGAGACCCCAAAUGGGAGCUCUGACUGUAGCUUGAUUCAGAUUGGGUCAAAAAGGUGGAAAUAGGUAGACAAGUCAAAAUAGACGGGGUUCUAGGAGGCUAUGGUAAUAAUAAUAUCAUUCCUGGAAAAAAUUGUUGAAGGCUUUAAACCUGAAGCAAGCCAGCUGGGUAACUUUUAUAUUCUUCUCUCACUUCUGAAUGUUCUUUGCCUUUAAAUGCUAUUGAACUAUAAUAGAGUUUCAUUAUGAACUUGAACCUUAUGUAUGCUAAAAAAGUGUGUUGAGCUAGAGAGGUGGGAGUUAGGGGGAAGGGCAUAGAAACUUGGUUCUUCGUGAAAGGUCUCCACCCUAGUGUACUUGUAGAUACCUGAGAGUGAGUGUUUUUUUCUUUCUUUAUUUUUUUACAGAACUCUUUGAAAGGGACUUUAUAAAAAUACACCCUAGAAUUUCACCGGGCAGAAAUUUCAGGUCAGAUAUAGGUGGGCCCACUUCCUCCCAUGCAACUCAACUCCACACCAUAGUUCCUCACAUCUCUAGGGGAAGUCUCCAUACCUUAUUCCAUUGCUCAUCACAUCUUAGCCUCUGGCUUUCUCACUGUAUUUACUAGAACAUCUUUCCAAGACUUGCUGUUCUUAUCCUCAGCAGAGCCUCCAGUUCCAACAUGAGCCCCAGCACAGUAUGUUCAUGUUGUACUCCACUGACUGUUCUUCAUUCACUACUCAAUUGGAUUCUUCAGUUGUAGGCAGUAGAAUCCACCUCCGCCUAACUUAGCAGGAGUUAAUUUAUUGGAAAGGAAUUAGAAGCUCACAGAACCGAUGGAAUUCUAGAGAACCAGCCUUGGGAACAGAUUAGUGGAAACUAAGGCAACUCUUGGGGGCUAGGAAGCAGAAUUGCAGGAGUGACCUGAUCAACAGAUUACCACUGGGAUGAUUGAACCCAGUCUGUUCUUUCAUCCUUGAAUGUUACUUGCCCAAGAUUUAAGAGUCCUGGAGAAAGCAUCUAGUUGGUGAAACCUAGGUCAUGCUGGAUGUACCAGGGGUGAGAGUAGGGAUUUAUAGUAUUUGCAAGAACCUCCAGGAAUCCCUUUGGCAUCCAUUAGUGGGAGGGUAGUCAUAUGGAGUUACAUUCUCACUGGGAUUAUACAAGGGCAGGUAAUUCUCCAACAGGAAAUUAGGACGUGGGGAGAGAUGGAUGCUGAGCAGCCAAAAUGAAAUACCUCCUCCAGACCCCUUGUCAACAUUAAAUAACUUAAUGACUCUUUACAUUCUAGUAGUUUACUUAUAUAAGACAAAUAAUGACAGUUUGUUUAGUGCUUUUCUCAGUAGAAUUUGUAUUGUGUCUGAUAUUGGCCCUUUACAUGCUGCUCCUUUAAUUAUCUCAACAGUCUUGUGAUAUAGGCAG
Molecule: long non-coding RNA, 1699 nt
Organism: Homo sapiens (human)
Lineage: Eukaryota; Metazoa; Chordata; Mammalia; Primates; Hominidae
Source: Ensembl